UGGGGAAUUUUGGACAAUGGGGGCAACCCUGAUCCAGCAAUGCCGCGUGUGUGAAGAAGGCCUUCGGGUUGUAAAGCACUUUUGUCCGGGAAGAAAUCCCCUGCCCUAAUACGGCGGGGGGAUGACGGUACCGGAAGAAUAAGCACCGGCUAACUACGUGCCAGCAGCCGCGGUAAUACGUAGGGUGCGAGCGUUAAUCGGAAUUACUGGGCGUAAAGCGUGCGCAGGCGGUGAUGUAAGACCGAUGUGAAAUCCCCGGGCUCAACCUGGGAACUGCAUUGGUGACUGCAUUGCUCGAGUAUGGCAGAGGGGGGUGGAAUUCCACGUGUAGCAGUGAAAUGCGUAGAGAUGUGGAGGAACACCGAUGGCGAAGGCAGCCCCCUGGGCCAAUACUGACGCUCAUGCACGAAAGCGUGGGGAGCAAACAG
RNAcentral lists this ribosomal RNA (428 nucleotides) under Bacillota bacterium. Its description in RNAcentral is "Firmicutes bacterium partial 16S ribosomal RNA". It matches the Rfam family "Bacterial small subunit ribosomal RNA", at positions 355 to 775 of the family's 1533-position model. The record is from RNAcentral. Lineage: Bacteria; Bacillati; Bacillota.